GAAAUGCGAUAAGUAAUGUGAAUUGCGGAAUUCAGUGAAUCAUCGAAUCUUUGAACGCACAUUGCGCCCGCCAGUAUUCUGGCGGGCAUGCCUGUUCGAGCGUCAUUACAACCCUCAGGCCCCCGGGCCUGGCGUUGGGGAUCGGCGGAAGCCCCCUGCGGGCACAACGCCGUCCCCCAAAUACAGUGGCGGUCCCGCCGCAGCUUCCAUUGCGUAGUAGCUAACACCUCGCAACUGGAGAGCGGCGCGGCCACGCCGUAAAACACCCAACUUCUGAAUGUUGACCUCGAAUCAGGUAGGAAUACCCGCUGAACUUAAGC
Molecule: unclassified non-coding RNA, 320 nt
Filed under: plant metagenome
Description: partial contains 5.8S ribosomal RNA, internal transcribed spacer 2, and large subunit ribosomal RNA
Rfam family: 5.8S ribosomal RNA (bases 1-105)
Source: RNAcentral